Molecule: unclassified non-coding RNA, 766 nt
Filed under: Hevea brasiliensis (rubber tree)
Lineage: Eukaryota; Viridiplantae; Streptophyta; Magnoliopsida; Malpighiales; Euphorbiaceae
Source: RNAcentral
GCAGUUUUGGUCACAGUUCCUAUAUCAGUGCCAGUUUUGAUCAUUAGAGCAUGAACUUGUCUGCCACGUUCUGGGCCAGGCAAAGCAGAGCAAGCGCUGAGAAUUGGUGUGACAGUAUAAGCAUCAAACUUAGGACAAGAACAAUGCAUGUGGCAAAAGAGAUCCCAUGUGGCAAGGAAGUUGCCAUUGCGAGAGAAAGAAGCGAGUUGGCAGUUAAGGGAGUAGAGCUCUCUGUGAGGAAAUGCAUCGAACAAGUGGUUGAUGUGAGCAUAACUUCUAUCAGUGAGGGCUUUUAAAUGACCAUUAAUAUGUAUUAUAGCGGGGAAGUUUAGGUGAAGAAUGAAGCGAUGUGAAGCAAACAUCAAUGGCUUUUGGGAGUCAUGAAUACUACAUGUUCCUUGCUAUUACGGCACAUAGAUGAAUUGUGAAAGCAAAUCCACCUACAAUUAUUCUUUACAGACGAUGACGCGGCUAUUGGAUUCAACAAGCGACGCCGUCACUUGCUGGGGGUUCUCUAUACUCCGGAGACUGCGAUGGGGUGGUGACGCUCUGAAACUGCAGCCGUUUCAACGAUUGGAGGUUAAAAUCUUCAGGGAACAAGCUUUCAAAUCUUCACCAUUUGUAGAUUUUGCGGCAGAAACAACUUCUAGCGAUUUCAGAGAAAGGCUUUCGAGUUCCGCCGGUGCCAAAAAUGACCGGAAACGGCGAAGGAAGUUUUGCUUCCCACUCUUCCUCUUUUUCUCUAUACUCUUAGCUCACCGCCGAC